AGAAAACCUCCGUCAACUGUC
RNAcentral lists this unclassified non-coding RNA (21 nucleotides) under Dictyostelium discoideum. The record is from RNAcentral. Lineage: Eukaryota; Evosea; Eumycetozoa; Dictyosteliales; Dictyosteliaceae.